This 326-nucleotide long non-coding RNA is filed under the name Fukomys damarensis (Damara mole-rat). Its description in RNAcentral is "lncRNA (ENSFDAG00000027243.1)". The record is from RNAcentral. Lineage: Eukaryota; Metazoa; Chordata; Mammalia; Rodentia; Bathyergidae.
UGUAAAUUUCAUCCUUGUUGUACCAAGCCAUAAUUUCAUUUCUUCUUCAGGCUAAUGGAGUGGAUAGACAUCUUCCCCCUCUAAGUGCUGGGAAUCAAACACAGGGCCUCUUGCAUACUAGGUUGACAGUGGGCCGCAUUCCCUUCGAAGGCUGAAUGGGAAGCUGAAAGACUGAGGACAGCAGUCAGGGAGAUCUAUACUCUUGGAACAUUCCAGUGAAGUGUGUGGGAGAAGGAAAUGGACCAGGUGGGAUCAAAUUCUCUUAGGUGAGUUCCCCACCCUCUUCCUGCUUUGGAAAUGACUUCAGUUUUAGAGAAAGAAGAUAA